This 72-nucleotide transfer RNA is filed under the name Candidatus Falkowiibacteriota bacterium. RNAcentral's name for it is "tRNA-Glu". It matches the Rfam family "tRNA". From Rfam's summary of the family: Transfer RNA (tRNA) molecules are approximately 80 nucleotides in length. Their secondary structure includes four short double-helical elements and three loops (D, anti-codon, and T loops). Further hydrogen bonds mediate the characteristic L-shaped molecular structure. tRNAs have two regions of fundamental functional importance: the anti-codon, which is responsible for specific mRNA codon recognition, and the 3' end, to which the tRNAs corresponding amino acid is attached (by aminoacyl-tRNA synthetases). tRNAs cope with the degeneracy of the genetic code in two manners: having more than one tRNA (with a specific anti-codon) for a particular amino acid; and 'wobble' base-pairing, i.e. permitting non-standard base-pairing at the 3rd anti-codon position. Lineage: Bacteria; Candidatus Falkowiibacteriota. The record is from RNAcentral.
GGUCCCUUCGUCUAGUGGUUAGGACAUCAGGUUCUCAUCCUGGUAACAGGGGUUCGAUUCCCCUAGGGACUA